Molecule: long non-coding RNA, 207 nt
Filed under: Elaeis guineensis (African oil palm)
Lineage: Eukaryota; Viridiplantae; Streptophyta; Magnoliopsida; Arecales; Arecaceae
Description: long non-coding RNA (EGUI_LNC040609)
Source: RNAcentral
CACUACAGCAGCAAUAGGUGGAGUCGCUAGGUGUCGUGAUAGGUGGAGUCACAGUGGCAGCAGUGGAUGUAGCUGCUGGAUCAGUGGUGAGUAUAGCCAUUGAUGAAAGGACCAACAGAGAGGUGCCUAGAUGUAGGACAUGGUUUUCAACCAUAAGGAAGGCAGUAGUGGUCUCCUGGAUAGCUUCAGAGCUAAGAUAUACUGCAG